CCUACGGGAGCGCAGCAGUGGGGAAUAUUGGACAAUGGGCGAAAGCCUGAUCCAGCCAUGCCGCGUGUGUGAAGAAGGCCUUCGGGUUGUAAAGCACUUUCAGUGGGGAAGAAAGCCUUGGGGCUAAUACCCUCGAGGAAGGACAUCACCCACAGAAGAAGCACCGGCUAACUCCGUGCCAGCAGCCGCGGUAAUACGGAGGGUGCGAGCGUUAAUCGGAAUUACUGGGCGUAAAGCGCGCGUAGGCGGUCUGAUAAGCCGGUUGUGAAAGCCCCGGGCUCAACCUGGGAACGGCAUCCGGAACUGUCAGGCUAGAGUGCAGGAGAGGAAGGUAGAAUUCCCGGUGUAGCGGUGAAAUGCGUAGAGAUCGGGAGGAAUACCAGUGGCGAAGGCGGCCUUCUGGACUGACACUGACGCUGAGGUGCGAAAGCGUGGGUAGCAAACAGGAUUAGAUACCCCGGUAGUC
RNAcentral lists this ribosomal RNA (466 nucleotides) under Vreelandella stevensii. RNAcentral's name for it is "partial 16S ribosomal RNA". It matches the Rfam family "Bacterial small subunit ribosomal RNA", at positions 338 to 795 of the family's 1533-position model. Lineage: Bacteria; Pseudomonadati; Pseudomonadota; Gammaproteobacteria; Oceanospirillales; Halomonadaceae. The record is from RNAcentral.